Molecule: ribosomal RNA, 482 nt
Filed under: uncultured bacterium
Lineage: Bacteria
Description: partial 16S ribosomal RNA
Rfam family: Bacterial small subunit ribosomal RNA
Source: RNAcentral
GACGAACGCUGGCGGCGUGCUUAACACAUGCAAGUCGAACGAUGAAACCUAGCUUGCUAGGUCGAUUAGUGGCGAACGGGUGAGUAACACGUGACUAACCUGCCCCUUUCUCUGGGAUAACGCUCCGAAAGGAGUGCUAAUACCGGAUACUCACACCGAGGCACAUGCCUUGGUGUGGAAAGUUUUUCGGAAAGGGAUGGAGUCGCGGCCUAUCAGCUUGUUGGUGAGGUAAGGGCUCACCACGGCGACGACGGGUAGCCGGCCUGAGAGGGGGACCGGCCACACUGGGACUGAGAGACGGCCCAGACUCCUACGGGAGGCAGCAGUGGGGAAUAUUGGACAAUGGGCGCAAGCCUGAUGCAGCGACGCCGCGUGAGGGAUGAAGGUCUUCGGAUGGUAAACCUCUUUCAGUAGGGACGAAGCGAAAGUGACGGUACCUAAAGAAGAAGCACCGGCUAACUACGUGCCAGCCGCCGCGGUAA